RNAcentral lists this transfer RNA (69 nucleotides) under Unio tumidus. RNAcentral's name for it is "tRNA-Phe". The record is from RNAcentral. Lineage: Eukaryota; Metazoa; Mollusca; Bivalvia; Unionida; Unionidae.
GAAAGAAGUAGCUUAAUACAAAGCAUAACACUGAAAAUGUUAAGAUAGCCUACUAACUCUCUCUCACCA